AGGGGAUUGGUCAAGUGGUAUGAUAGGGGUCUCCAAAACCUUUGGUGGGAGUUCGAUUCUCUCAUCCCCUG
This 71-nucleotide transfer RNA is filed under the name Faecalicatena orotica. RNAcentral describes it as "Clostridium oroticum tRNA". It matches the Rfam family "tRNA". From Rfam's summary of the family: Transfer RNA (tRNA) molecules are approximately 80 nucleotides in length. Their secondary structure includes four short double-helical elements and three loops (D, anti-codon, and T loops). RNAcentral also lists the same sequence under 2 other names. The record is from Rfam by way of RNAcentral. Lineage: Bacteria; Bacillati; Bacillota; Clostridia; Lachnospirales; Lachnospiraceae.